GUCGCGUCCUACAGAAGAGAAGAGAGGCAUGGCAGAUACAGGGCCAUGUGCAAACAAAAGCCAGGCCUUUGCUGCCAGAUGGGUGCUGAGGCGGAAGCAGCACGUGCAGGAGGGCCAGGUUCCCGGGUAUCCUGCCUGGCCCCACCCUCAGGAAGAUCCAGCAUCUUCUCAGGGCCUGAAGAUGCCCUCAGAGCAGCAAGACAGUCCUUUUCAUGCCCGAGAGCCUGAAAGUGCCAUCCAACAAACGAGGCCACCGGAAGCAGGGGCUGUCACACCACCACUGCCAUGCCCAUACCUGCAUCCACGUCAUUGGGCCAUCCGCUAGACUGGCUGCUGCCAGCGGCCGGAGAGCGGCCUGUCCCAGGAUAGAACACAUCAUCUACUGGACUCUCCAUCUCACUGUCGUCGAUGGACUUGGGGCGCUUGGUGCUGCUGAGGAGGAGGAGGAAGAAGAAGAAGAAGAAGCAAGUCAAGUGGGCCAAAGUUCCAGGCACCCCAGUUCUAGGAGCAGAGCAUCUCCAGACCUGCUCUCCCUCAGGUUGCCAGGACACCCUGAAGGACCAUCAAAGAACAGGCAAAGCACCUUUAUCUGCCUUCCACACCCCACCCACUCUUUCCUAUUAGCUCUCAGCUGUGCCGUGGAACUCAGUCAUUAAAGAGUGUUUUAAGCCAA
Long non-coding RNA from Mus musculus (house mouse), 673 nucleotides. RefSeq annotates it as RIKEN cDNA G430095P16 gene. Lineage: Eukaryota; Metazoa; Chordata; Mammalia; Rodentia; Muridae. The record is from RefSeq and is marked validated. The transcript is spliced from 2 exons.